UAUCUUUGCACCGUCUAAAGCCAAAAAGUUGGUGGCGACUACAUAAUAAUUAUUUAAAUAAUAUUGGAAUG
RNAcentral lists this non-coding RNA (71 nucleotides) under marine eukaryotic metagenome. RNAcentral describes it as "S15-Flavobacteria ribosomal protein leader". It matches the Rfam family "S15-Flavobacteria ribosomal protein leader". The record is from RNAcentral.